UUCAAGAGCUAAUCCUAAAAUCCUCCUUUCAUAUAGGAUUUCCUUGCUGAAAUACACCUUUAGAGUGACUAUGUGAGAAAAGUGAGGAAAAAUACGUGAAUGUUCAAUCACCCUGACACCAAAAUGAAAAGCAAUUCCAAUUCAAACCACGCAGGAUAGAUGAUGACUGGGAUGUGGCAUUUCCCCAUCAGUGUGCCAGGGUUGUGAGCAGUUCCCAGUGGAAGAGCUGCAACAACUUCGUCCCUUAACCUCCACUGAAGAAUGCAUGGGAGACAGAGUGAUGCUAUUACAGAAAAAAGCUUGGAUCUGCUUUAAUUUAUUAUUUUGAAAUUCAGUUAUUCACAAAGCAAAUACUGCUGACUGAUCAAUCCCAGUGCUCUUUCUGGCUGAUCUGCAACCAAAUCUUAGAAACCAACGAUGCUCUGGGCAGCCGGUACCAUCAACCGUAUCAGCAUAACAGCAUGAAAUCUGUUAGUUAUCUCUGCAAAGCAAAGAAAGGAAUGUCUAAUACAGGAAAACCUCAUUACCUGAAGGUAACUUGUGUUGGAAAAAUCCCACCUACAGUUAGUCACUUAAAACAGAAGCUAGUAUUUCAAAGUAAAUAGAAAAAAUUAAGGGUGAAUAGAGCUUUAUCUUAGAAAAAAAUGAUACUCAAUAUUCAUUUGUUUAUUUCAUACUACAAACAUUUGUUGGGUAGCUACCACGGUAGACACCAUUUUCAGCCCUGGGGAUAGAGUAAUGAAUAAGACCUACAAAUCUUUGCCUUCAAAGAGCUCCCGUUCUAGUGGGAGAGACAAUUAUAAUACAAAGAGGCAAACAAAUAUUAAAUAUCAGGUAGUAACAGGUCCUAUGAAGAAAGUAAGGCAGAAUAAAGUGAUGGGAGCUGCUGAUUUAGAGGGUGUGGUCAGAGAUGUUUUCCCCAAGGAGGCACAUUUGAGCAGAUGGGGUGGUUUUCCCAGCAGGGGGAAUAGUAAGUGCAAAGAGCCUAGGGAAGGAUCAAGUUCACCUAUUGAAGUAAGAGCAGGGAGGCCAAUAUGAUUGGAGACAAGUUCAGUUGUCUCUUGGCCAGAGCGCACACAGCCUGGUAGAUGAUGGUAAACAGUAAAUACACUAUAAAAGUGUUCUUAACUUACAGUUGGGAUAUAAUUGUGAUA
Molecule: non-coding RNA, 1154 nt
Organism: Vicugna pacos (alpaca)
Lineage: Eukaryota; Metazoa; Chordata; Mammalia; Artiodactyla; Camelidae
Source: RefSeq, a predicted model, not a curated record